CUUUUAGAACCUAUCAGCCCUGAAUGGGGAUGGAAGAGUAACAAGAGACUGUUUCUAUACAUUAUGUCCCACCACUGCUUAUGUGCCUGCUUUGUCUGACUUUCUGUGGAUUCCAGCAGCGAGUGGCUUGUGACAUGCUUAUUUAAAGGGCUUCAUCACUCCCAUGUUUAAUACAGAGAUUUCUCUAGUGAUAAAAAGGGAUCUCUGGAUGGAGCAAAGCAGGGAAGACUAA
RNAcentral lists this long non-coding RNA (232 nucleotides) under Lepidothrix coronata (blue-crowned manakin). RNAcentral's name for it is "lncRNA (ENSLCOG00000003711.1)". The record is from RNAcentral. Lineage: Eukaryota; Metazoa; Chordata; Aves; Passeriformes; Pipridae.